This 252-nucleotide ribosomal RNA is filed under the name uncultured bacterium. RNAcentral's name for it is "partial 16S ribosomal RNA". It matches the Rfam family "Bacterial small subunit ribosomal RNA", at positions 524 to 776 of the family's 1533-position model. The record is from RNAcentral.
UACGGAGGAUGCGAGCGUUAUCCGGAUUUAUUGGGUUUAAAGGGUGCGUAGGCGAGCUUUUAAGUCAGCGGUAAAAAUUCGGGGCUCAACCCCGUCCGGCCGUUGAAACUGGGGGUCUUGAGUGGGCGAGAAGAAGGCGGAAUGCGUGGUGUAGCGGUGAAAUGCAUAGAUAUCACGCAGAACCCCGAUUGCGAAGGCAGCCUUCCGGCGCCCUACUGACGCUGAGGCACGAAAGUGCGGGGAUCGGACAGG